GAGCGGACAGAUGGGAGCUUGCUCCCUGAUGUUAGCGGCGGACGGGUGAGUAACACGUGGGUAACCUGCCUGUAAGACUGGGAUAACUCCGGGAAACCGGGGCUAAUACCGGAUGGUUGUUUGAACCGCAUGGUUCAAACAUAAAAGGUGGCUUCGGCUACCACUUACAGAUGGACCCGCGGCGCAUUAGCUAGUUGGUGAGGUAACGGCUCACCAAGGCGACGAUGCGUAGCCGACCUGAGAGGGUGAUCGGCCACACUGGGACUGAGACACGGCCCAGACUCCUACGGGAGGCAGCAGUAGGGAAUCUUCCGCAAUGGACGAAAGUCUGACGGAGCAACGCCGCGUGAGUGAUGAAGGUUUUCGGAUCGUAAAGCUCUGUUGUUAGGGAAGAACAAGUACCGUUCGAAUAGGGCGGUACCUUGACGGUACCUAACCAGAAAGCCACGGCUAACUACGUGCCAGCAGCCGCGGUAAUACGUAGGUGGCAAGCGUUGUCCGGAAUUAUUGGGCGUAAAGGGCUCGCAGGCGGUUUCUUAAGUCUGAUGUGAAAGCCCCCGGCUCAACCGGGGAGGGUCAUUGGAAACUGGGGAACUUGAGUGCAGAAGAGGAGAGUGGAAUUCCACGUGUAGCGGUGAAAUGCGUAGAGAUGUGGAGGAACACCAGUGGCGAAGGCGACUCUCUGGUCUGUAAC
This 694-nucleotide ribosomal RNA is filed under the name Bacillus sp. 17826. Its description in RNAcentral is "bacterial SSU rRNA". It matches the Rfam family "Bacterial small subunit ribosomal RNA", at positions 64 to 740 of the family's 1533-position model. The record is from RNAcentral. Lineage: Bacteria; Bacillati; Bacillota; Bacilli; Caryophanales; Bacillaceae.